Long non-coding RNA from Humulus lupulus (European hop), 718 nucleotides. RefSeq lists it as uncharacterized. The record is from RefSeq and is a predicted model, not a curated record. The transcript is spliced from 4 exons. Lineage: Eukaryota; Viridiplantae; Streptophyta; Magnoliopsida; Rosales; Cannabaceae.
AUAUAAAACACUUAAAAAAGCUAUCAAAUUUUUUGAAAUUUUCGGGUUAACACAAUAGAGCACUAUCAGCAAUACAUUUGGGGAUUUAUUCAAAAUCACAACAUUUAGGGCUGGUAGAGAGGUGAACGGCGGCUGUAGGUGAACGGCAGUGACGGUGGUGAACGGCGUCGACGGCAGGUGGGUUCUCGGCUUCAGCAGUCUCGCCGGUGGCGUGCUUCUUGGCGUGGGGUGCUGGUUGCUCACGGUUCCGUCUCUCGGCGUGCUUCGGUGAUUUCCAGUGUUUGUGAAUGGGAAGUUUUGCAAGGAUCCAAAGGAAGUCAAUGCGGAUGAUUUCUUUACUUCAGGGCUCAACAUUGCAGGAAACACUGAUAAUCCAGUUGGUUCCAAAGUAAUAGCUGUUGAUACAAGUGUGACUUGUAAAAGAAUAUACAAGUUAAUAUUUUGAUUGGUUUUAAAGCAUUGGAUUGGUAGCUAAUUGCAAGAGGCGCAAUAUGGACAAAGAAUGGAUGUCAGCUGAUAGGUUGUCAGUAGAAUAUAUAAAAGGGGUCGAUGAGUUUCUUAAAUUUAGUUUGGAUCAUGCCAAAGAUCCAAACUAUAUUUGUUAUCCUUGUAGUAAAUGUGGAAAUAUGAAAAAGAUGACUGCCAUAAUAAUAAAAGAGCACUUAUAUUUCCAUGGGAUAGACAAAAGUUAUAAAAUAUGGUAUUGGCAUGGUGAAGA